Molecule: ribosomal RNA, 497 nt
Filed under: uncultured bacterium
Lineage: Bacteria
Description: partial 16S ribosomal RNA
Rfam family: Bacterial small subunit ribosomal RNA
Source: RNAcentral
GAUGAACGCUGGCGGCGUGCCUAAUACAUGCAAGUCGAGCGAACGGACGAGAAGCUUGCUUCUCUGAUGUUAGCGGCGGACGGGUGAGUAACACGUGGAUAACCUACCUAUAAGACUGGGAUAACUUCGGGAAACCGGAGCUAAUACCGGAUAAUAUUUUGAACCGCAUGGUUCAAAAGUGAAAGACGGUCUUGCUGUCACUUAUAGAUGGAUCCGCGCUGCAUUAGCUAGUUGGUAAGGUAACGGCUUACCAAGGCAACGAUGCAUAGCCGACCUGAGAGGGGGAUUGGCCACACUGGAACUGAGACACGGUCCAGACUCCUACGGGAGGCAGCAGUAGGGAAUCUUCCGCAAUGGGCGAAAGCCUGACGGAGCAACGCCGCGUGAGUGAUGAAGGUCUUCGGAUCGUAAAACUCUGUUAUUAGGGAAGAACAUAUGUGUAAGUAACUGUGCACAUCUUGACGGUACCUAAUCAGAAAGCCACGGCUAACUACGUG